GUAGAACUGAGGGAGUAAGAGGGGGAGAGAAUUUAGAAAGAAUUCCGAAACUAGUAAGAAAGACGCAAAAAAGUGCAUGAAAACUCCAAGAAAGAAAGCACCUAGAAUAAAAAUAAAAGCAGAAAAGUAACAAAAAAAAAAAGAUUAAAAACAAGAAACAACAAAGACACAGACAUGGAAUUGUUUUCUAAGAUGUUCAUAAAAUGCAAGGAUAUUAUUGCUCAAUUUCCAGAGGAGCAACGACCGCAACUGACAGGGAAAGGAACACCACCACCACGCAGAGGGAAAGGAACACCCCCGCUGCCACCUCGGGUGCGACCUCCGCGACCGCCGGUUAAGCUGUUGUGAUUGGUCAAACGUUUCUGUCACUUCUUUGGAUUGUUAUUUAAAGGCUUAAUACCUACUUCAAUCUCAGUUUCAAGUGUUGACUUUGCACGGAAUUUGCAGAAAGUUAAUUGUUGUCAGAGUAGAACUUCAUAUCGUUGCAAAUGGAAAUAUAUAAGCAAAAGUCUUCAGAGAAUGGUGUGCAUGAUAAUGAUUUAAACUCCUGGUCGGAGUUUUCAGAGAAUGGUGUGCAUGAUAAUGAUUUAAACUCCUGGUCGGAG
This is a long non-coding RNA of Octopus sinensis (East Asian common octopus), 605 nucleotides long. RefSeq lists it as uncharacterized. NCBI's taxonomy places the organism in Eukaryota, Metazoa, Mollusca, Cephalopoda, Octopoda, Octopodidae. The transcript has 8 exons. The record is from RefSeq and is a predicted model, not a curated record.